RNAcentral lists this transfer RNA (134 nucleotides) under Candidatus Woesearchaeota archaeon. Its description in RNAcentral is "tRNA-OTHER". It matches the Rfam family "tRNA". Rfam says of the family: Transfer RNA (tRNA) molecules are approximately 80 nucleotides in length. Their secondary structure includes four short double-helical elements and three loops (D, anti-codon, and T loops). The record is from RNAcentral. Lineage: Archaea; Nanobdellati; Candidatus Woesearchaeota.
GGGCCCGUAGCUUAGCCUGGUGGAGCGCUGAUCAACAAGGAUGCGUUUCCGUUGAGUGAAAGUCUUAUAAGAAGACUAAGCUAAUAUGUCUCUAAGUGAGCCAGAAGUCGUGAGUUCAAAUCUCAUCGGGCCCA